GAUGAACGCUGGCGGCGUGCCUAAUACAUGCAAGUCGAGCGAACAGAUGAGGAGCUUGCUCCUCUGACGUUAGCGGCGGACGGGUGAGUAACACGUGGAUAACCUACCUAUAAGACUGGGAUAACUUCGGGAAACCGGAGCUAAUACCGGAUAAUAUAUUGAACCGCAUGGUUCAAUAGUGAAAGACGGUUUUGCUGUCACUUAUAGAUGGAUCCGCGCCGCAUUAGCUAGUUGGUAAGGUAACGGCUUACCAAGGCAACGAUGCGUAGCCGACCUGAGAGGGUGAUCGGCCACACUGGAACGGAGACACGGUCCAGACUCCUACGGGAGGCAGCAGUAGGGAAUCUUCCGCAAUGGGCGAAAGCCUGACGGAGCAACGCCGCGUGAGUGAUGAAGGUCUUCGGAUCGUAAAACUCUGUUAUUAGGGAAGAACAAAUGCGUAAGUAACUAUGCACGUCUUGACGGUACCUAAUCAGAAAGCCACGGCUAACUACGUG
RNAcentral lists this ribosomal RNA (497 nucleotides) under uncultured bacterium. Its description in RNAcentral is "partial 16S ribosomal RNA". It matches the Rfam family "Bacterial small subunit ribosomal RNA", at positions 28 to 507 of the family's 1533-position model. The record is from RNAcentral.